GACCGGUCAGAAGGUAGUGAGUUAUCUCAAUUGAUUGUUCACAGUCAGUACAGAUUGAACUUGUUCUAUUCUUUCCCCCCUUCUCACUACUUCAUUGACUAGUCUUUA
Molecule: Y RNA, 108 nt
Filed under: Cavia aperea (Brazilian guinea pig)
Lineage: Eukaryota; Metazoa; Chordata; Mammalia; Rodentia; Caviidae
Description: Y RNA (ENSCAPG00000004831.1)
Rfam family: Y RNA
About the family: Y RNAs are components of the Ro ribonucleoprotein particle (Ro RNP), in association with Ro60 and La proteins.
Source: RNAcentral